CCUGGGGUUGGAGCCCCACAGCCUGCCCGUCCGUAUGCUCCCAAGAGGUUUGAGCAGCCAGGCACUGAAGAAGCGAGUCACACCCACAUCGUGUGCCCUGCGACGGGGACAAGCAAACUUUUCCCAUUUCACUUAGGUACUCCCUAUUUAAUUGUGAACUUGGUAAGAAAACUAAGAGGAAACUAAGAGGUAUGUGAAAUCGAAUAAAAUGGCCGCAAAUCAUCCCAUUCCCUCUUUAGAUGAAGGCAGAGACUGCAGACUCAAGACCAGCACCCUGUAGGAUAAACACGAACAGCCCUUUGACAGCAAAAGCAACCAAGAAGUGUCUCCUGACCUGCGUUUAGAAAUAAAUAAAGGAACUCCAAUUCUAAAGAGCAAGUGGAGCCUUUUCUGGGGUGGGCAAGAAGUGUGUUCAUUACAGGUUGAAGAGCUCAAUACCAGAGGUCCAUCUUGACAGCUCUUCUAAUUCUCACGGAGUGUGGCCAGGGAUGCUCCUCGGCUAAUCUCCACCAGAUGUUGUGAGAUUGUCAACAUUUCCCAAAGCUAUUCCAAUUCCCCAAGACAAUUAAGACCUAUAAUCAGAUUUCAAAGGACACCUUCCUACAACAUUAAACCACAGUACCUUACAUAAUGAGAAAAUCAGAAUGAACGAUAGAAUUUACAUUGAGUACUAUUUCAGUCUUCAAAGAGCUGAGAUAAAUUAUGAUUUUUAUCUUCACAGCACUUCUAUGGCACAGGAAGAAGCAGUACUGGGUGGCCCUGUCUGACAGCUGAAGAAAGUGAGGGCUGCUGGGAGCCCAUGCCGCACUCUGUCACAUUAAGAUGGCAGCACAAGAGCCCAGGUCUGCUGUGCCUGGUGCCCCGCCCUUAGUAUCAUACCUUCCCAGGGAACAUCUUCUCAGGCCUUUGAGGUACGCACCCCAGAGUAAUCACACAUUUGCACCCCUAUCUCCUCUCUGCUUACCUCAAACCCAUGUACUCACUGUACAUUCACACACUCUAGCAACCCUGUGCCACUGUCUGCCCUGCAAACCUCACCCCACUCAUCCAGUCAAGGUCAAGGAUGGGAUUCUAUCUCCACAGAAAGAUACAUACUCGGGUGACAUAGAUGUUUGCUCAAUAAUUAUCCGUUACAUUGGACAGAUAGUUUUAAGUACUCUUCUGCAUUCUAUCUCCAAAAAAAAAGGAAAAAAUAAGAGAACAUUCUGUGAUGAGAAAAAUGGUUAACUUUCAUCUUAUUAAAAAAUUAUUUUCUUGCCUAUAUUUGUUGACAGGUCUUGACAGAAUUUUGACCCCCUCAUGAUCCCAAUCUUUGCCUGGGGAUCCCUGAUCUCUCUGUCCAGUCAGCUGUCCUCUUUGAUUGUGACCUCCCCCUGACCUGGCCUUAGGUCCAUAUUCCCCCCAGGCAGAAUGGGCCUCAUUAGCCAAAGAACUGGGCUCUUAAAUUCUAGGAACCUAAUCUCAAGGUCUACCUCGCCCACAUGUGGACACAAGGGAACAUCAAGAGUUCUCUAAGUUAGGUAGGACUUUAUAUGAAAAUCCCAAAAAGGAUAUAUUGAAAAUGACCCAACACAUACUUUGAAAUGAAAAUAAUACACAAUUUGUUAGACACAUGGAGAAGGGCAUUGUAUCCAGGCCAGAACCUAGAAACCUUGGAACUCAUGACCUCUGACUCAGAGGUCAGCCUUCAUGCUGCAGACCAACGGCUUCUUAACUGUCACAGAACUUUGGGAAAGCUCUUAACUGCCACUGACACGGUGUCCAGCCAUAUCUCUUGAUGAACCUGAAGGAGGAGGAGCUCUGCAGGGAUGUUUGAAACCAGUAAUAUUCAGAUAUUCCUGCCGGACUGAGUAUCUCAGAAAGAAACCAGACUGAAGGGGAAAAGUACAGGAGUUUCAGGAGGAAAUUCUUACGAAUAAAAAUGUUCAGCCAAGGGCAUGACAGAGCAACAAAGCCCGUUGGCUAGGCAGCAGGGGUGGGCGGUUCCCUGGGAGGCUGGGUAGAGCUUGACUAGCAUCCGUGUGCUCCAGAAAAGAGAGGGCUGUGGUGUAAAGGAACAGUGCCACAUGCACUCCAGCACCAAUGGAGGGGUGAUCCACGGGAGCCAGUGGCAGGCGGGGAGCGGCCUCUGUGAGGGGAACAGAGUGGGAGAAGGGGCAGGGGGCUAUCGGGCACGUGGCAGAAGUGGCCAUGCCUCCCUCCAGGUGCUUCUGGGAGCAAAGUGAUCUAGUAGAUCACUUUGGGCAUUCAUAUCCCAAAUGAAAACACACCUAGAGAUCCUGAGGAACGUUUUGGAAGGGGGAUCGUGAGAGGGUGAAAUAGAAUUUUUGCUGGGAAAAGAAGCAGGAGGAGGGGGAAUUACAAGGUCACUGUAAAUGUGAAGUGUGUGUACUUUCUGACAGAUGAAACUUGCUAGAAACAAAAAGAUUCGUGUGACAGGUGCUGCUAUGAGCCUGGAAUUUUUCCCUGCUAAGAAAUGGAUGGUAAGCCUUACCAUCUCAGGAGUAGGAAAAUAUCCUGGUUCAGUCUCAGUCCUCUUCCUCGUGACCAAUGUCCUAUGUCUCAUGGAGCAGAUUGUCACUGGGGGGUCUUCUUGCAGCAGUGUCCUUAUUCCUGAGACCUGGACUUCACGUCGGCGGGUGCUGGAGGGACAGUCUCUGCAAUGUCAUUCUUGUUUAUUUCAUGUGCAGCUGUGCCUCUCUCCACUUGGGCUGGUGAAGUUUGCAGUGGCCGCAAAAGACCUCUCAGGCAAGCCCAAGCCUGCUGCACCUGUUUCUGUGUUCUCUUUGGCAACUGCAUUUUCUCUUUGGGAACUAGCUUCUUCCCGAAUGCUGUGGUUAUCAGAGGGGUGUUUUAAACUAAUCCCAACAGCUAAAUACAAACUCAAAAAGAUUCUCUGUUGAACAUUAAAAAAAAAGCAGAGGGGAUGGGGGCAGUGGGAGGAGGAGGUUUGCAUUUUAACAUAAAAAGCUGCUUGAAAUUAGAGGUGAAGUUUCCCCUUUUAGUCUAAAAUACGGAUAUUCAUCCAUUCUUCAUGCAACGAGAGACAAAGAGCUUCUCUCCAGUCUUCCACCACAUACAUACUCUUGGCCAUAGUCGCCAAUGACAAAUAUAUUUGGCCAAUUUUGUACCUGUAAUUAAAGCAAACCUCUAUAGAGAAGGCCCUCAGGCCAGCCCCGAGACUCCGCUGACCACUUCUACUCAUUUUGUUUCCUAACCUGCCCCUCCCAGUCUCCUGAGGCCCAACCUGUUGCCAACUGUGACCUGGCUGAGCUGCUUGCUGGCCCUCCUUUUGUCCUCUGCAGAAGGCCAGCAGGACCCAGCUAACAGCUAGUGCUUACAGGGAGAAGGGUCUCGACAGUGGGUUUAAAUUAAGAGGUAAAAGUAGACACUGCAAUCUAUAGAGACAGGUUCAGAAGUUAGAAAUUCAGGUUUCCCUGAGAAUCCCCUAGGGUGGAAGUUCACACCUCUGGCAAAGGCCUCGUGACACUACGGAAAGCUCACAGCUUUCGCUUCUUAUUCUGCGGUGAUCGUUGGGUGAGUUUGGACAGGCCACUGAAUUUCUGACCUUAGUAUUUUAUCUAGAUUUCCAGGAAGUUGUGAGAAAGCUGUAGAGGCUAAACCUUGAGAACUCUGUGGAUCUAAUGAUCAGAAGUAGGAGGUACUGUAGUGUCAGCCUCAGGUGGCAUUAGCUCUGCACCCUGCUCUAUACCUGCCACCUCUGCAUGGCCCUCGGAAGCCCUAGUCGCUGACUUUUCUCUGUCUCCUGACUUUGGUAGUUCAUUAAGGCCACUUGCCUUCGAGACAUUCAGGACCCCUGAAAAGAAGCCCUUGAAGAGGGCUAUUUUCUUUACCGUCGCAUUUCCUAGCACGUUGAACAGCAUUGAAUAGAAAUCUUCUCAGCUGCAAAAAAGAUGUCUGAUGUCCAACACCAGAGCAGCCUCAUUGUGUCAUCUUUUCCUUUCUUUUGAUUCCUUUAAAUUAUUUUUAAUUUUUUAUAAAAAUGUCUGUCUUAUGAGUUGUGUUACAUUCCCCACUUAAAAGCUUAGGUGAAACCCUAUGGUUGACAAGUUAAAUCCUUGGCAUGAAUUUUUUAAAUUUUUUUGCAGUUUGCUCCAAGCUUUCCAAUGUCACCUCCUGUCUCCUCCUCCCUCUCUGUUAUGCUAAUAAUUCAGAGCUUGUCAGUGAGCUCCGAUGCUAAACAAAACACUCUCAUAGCUCUGAUUUUGCUUAUGUUGCUGUUCCUUCUCUCUUCUGGGGAACAUCUCCUCUGCCUGUAAAACAUGCUUCUGCCAUAAUUUCUUGUGAAUCACCUUGUUACCCCACCUGCUUCAUAUCUCCUUCAAAGGCCCCUGGCCUCCCCACACCUCACUGCAUAUUCUGCAUAAUCAGCUUCAUUUUAUUGUGGUUGUAUUCAGCCUUUUAUUAUUUAACUUUUCAUAUGUGUCUUCUCAACUGUCAUAAGUUUUUUAAGGCGAGAGUGAUGGUUCUUAGAUUACUUUUAUACCCCUCAUGUUACCUGACACAAUAUCACCCAUACAGCUCUACAGUAAAUAUUCAAUUAAAACACAGGAGUAGAGGCCAGGUGCAGUGUCUCUCUGCUAUAAUCUCAGCACUUUGGGAAGAAGAAGCAGGGGGAUCACUUGAGGCAAGGUCAAAGACCAGCCUGGACAACAUGGUGAGACCCCAUCUCUACAAAAACUUUAAAAAUUAACUGGGUGUGGUGGCACACACAUCUGUAGUUCCAGUGACUUGGAAGGCUGAGGCAGAAGGAUUGCUGGAACCCAAGAGUCCAAGGCUGCAGUGAGCUAGGAUCACACCACUCUAGCCUGGGAGACAGAGAAGAUCCUGUCUUUGUAUACAUAUAUGAAUAGAAGACAUAUCAACCAACCCCUUUGAAAAUAUACCCACCUUAAGUUUUCUUUCUAAACCUGCCACAUCUAUCUCUAACCAGGCACUUUUCCAUCUUUUAACUACCUUCAGUGUUCAAAGUCAGUUGACCAACAUCAAUUGUAUUGUACACAACUAACUCCUAGGCAGGAGGUAACUGAAGUCAGUUUUGCAGACAUGAACCAAUGGCCAGUAGAGGUGUUCUGGACAUUGGUGGGUGAGUCCGUCCCACUGAGGGAUGGGGGAAAAAAGUCAUGGGGGAAAAAAACAAGUGUCUUAAAGAUACACCUUUAGCGAGUGAGGAUGAGUUAGAACCUCUCUAGGCAUUCUUAUUUUAGGUAGAUAAACUGUGUUGGUUUUUUUUAAGUUUAAAAUGGAGUUUGUGAGAAAACAGAAGAGGUAGCUCAAUACAGCUUUUGCUUUGUGGAUGCCACUUAGGUGCCAAAUUACAUCCUCAAAGUCUUGGUUAUCAACCUUCUCAAAAGAAAUCCAGCUGAGUUUCCUCUCCAGUGAUUUCCCUUAGAAUUAAGAGAGGAGAAUGAUUUGUUGUAGGUAAUUGGAGAACUGAAAGCAGAAUGGCUUUUAAAGUAUGAAGAAAGCUACUGUAGCAUUUUAGAUCAUUAUUGCCAAUGAUCUCCAGGAUAUAUAUCAUAGAUAUUUAUAUAACAUAGGUAGUAAUGUACCUCAGAACUCAAACACAGUGUAUACUGUCAGUACACCUUGAAAUUGAAAAAAAAGCCUUAAAAAAUGAAUGCUGUUACUCCUCUCGACUAAAGAAAGCCUUUGAUCCUAAACUACAGAAUUCUGCAAAAUAAUUAACAUUGUCUUGAGGUGACCUUUUCUCAUAUUCUCUCUGAGCUUUCUCAAUCUUCCAAAACAGGGCUAAAUAAUACAAGCCUUCCUAGUUAGAAUAAGUUCAUCCUGCUGAGAAAUCCAAUUUUUUUCAAAGCCAAAAUAAGCCAUGAAUUCAACCACUCAUCAAAGACUGGGGAUUAUGAAGAUUCCUGGCUCUUGGGGCUAUUACUUGCUUGCCAGAAAUAUCAAAAGACAUCAGGGUUCGUUAUCCUUAACACAACCUAUUUGAUUCAAAGACUCUUUGAGCGGUAGUCAUGCACACAGUAAUCACAGCCUAAACCGUGUCAAUGUUCUGAACAGACACUGGACAGCAUUGUAGCAAGAGCCUGUGACGGGGUUUUCAGUCCUGAAGUCAGAAUCCACUGGAUAAAGUUUAUGAAGAGGGCUUCGUCCUCUUAGUAUGUGAUUUCCAGAAAUGUGAAUGUUCACGGAGAGCACAUAUCUUAUUAUUUUCACCUGUGAUGCUCUUGUAACUGCACCCGCAGCUCCCUGUCCCUUGCCACUCCAGUCUAUUCUUUACUAUGUAAAUCAAAGUAUCUCUGCAAAAUGCAAAUCUGAUUGUCUCUUCCCCAUUGAAAAUGGCUUAAAAGUCCUCCAUUGCUUUAGGAUAAAGUCCAAAUUCCUUAUUUUGGCUUACAAGCUAAAAUCUAGUCCUGGAUCCAGUCCUGGCCUACCUCUCUAAUUUUCUUUUUAACUUUACCACCUACCACCUACCACCCCCACACAUCUCCUCUGCUUUCCAACUAUAUUGAAAACAUUUAAUUCUGUAUGUUCUCUUGUCUUUGGCAUUUUGUUCCCUCCUCUCCUGCUCCCACAUACUCAUAACGUAGACUUGAUUUCAUAAACACACAUGCUCCUCUUUGCACAAACUCAUGUCAGAAUAUGUAUUUCGGGUGCUGUAAAGAAUAAGAUUUAACUGCUACUAACAAAUUCUGUAGUGACAUUACACACCAACUUUUUGGGAAUCUAAACACUGUAAAAUUUUUGUCUUGGUGACCACCUUCCUCCCUGUCACCAAGUGAGUAUGAAUGCUUGACAUUAGAAAAUAAUUUAUAUUUCAAAUCAGAGGCAACUUUAUCAUGGUAGAGUGCUCUGGCCUCCUUUCUGGAUGCCUUACAUUGUUCACUAAUGAGAUAAAAUGUGGCGGCCCCAUCCGUCUUGGUUUGUUUUGGCUUGGUCUUGACUGUAAAAGAUUGUACAGUAACAUUAAUGAGAUAUUUAAUUCACUAAAGAGAUCUUUAACUUCCUCAUUUGCUAGAUUAAUAGGAAGAUAAUCUAGGGAAACAAUGAAAUACCAUUCACCUACCCAAUUUUUAAUAGAUUUCAUAGUCUCUGUGGGCCCUUGGAAAAAGCAUCAUGGUACUUUCUGCAGUUACACAGAAAAAUAAUUUUGCAUUUGGAUACAUUAUCUCUCUACCUCUAAGCUUAUGCUUUCACGCACUGAAAUGCAGACUCACAUGUAGUAAGCAUCCAGAUAUUUUGUUGGUUAUUGGUUAUUGCCAGCAUAUCUAGUAAAUGAUCUGAAUUCAAUUUUAAGCUGUCUUAAUGUCAAAAAAAAAAGCAUAUCUUUACCUAACUUUAAUCCAGUAAGUUUUUACUAAGAAUUUACUGUAUUUUAAGGCCUUUGCUCCUUGAAAAAGCCCUCAUUUAGAUUGAGCUGUCUGUGUAACUAUUAGGUGUGCCCAGGAUAUCCUGGAGUGAAUGCUCAAACAUUGGCCUUGAUGCCAGGACUCCCCUGGAUGGUGGUCUGGCUUCCCUGAGCCUCCUGAUGCUUUGGGCAAGGUUGGCACCCCUGCCUAAUUCUCAGAGGCUACAUGGCUGUAUGCAGACAGCUGGUGUGUCACCUGUCUCACUAUGCCUUUGUAGAAAUGCUGCCUGGAUGGGUCAUGAGAAUGAGGGAUUUCCCAUAUUAAGUUCUUAAGAUUACUUCUUACAGAAUUGCCACAAUCAAAUAUUUAUACAAGCGGGUCACUAUUCAACCAGAACUGACCCAGCAUCUCCUGUGUCAAGUCACCCGGGAGAUCCUGAAGUUGAAUUCAACCAUGUUUGUGAAGUGACUGCUGGGGACUGUGCACAGGGCAGGGGCCAGGGUGGUCUUGAUGGAUCACCCACAGCCCUGCCCUGCCUGGACAAUCUUACUCCAAAUGGCAGGAGCUGAGCCUUGUGCUCCCAACCCUUCCCUGGCAUUCACAGAGGAACACCGUUAAUACUGAAUCAACAAAUGAAGUGGGAAGCUUUUUGAACUAGAGGAGCUUGUUAUUCUAAAGAACAAAGCCAGCUCUUUUUUAAAAAUACUUGAGAACACAGUUGAAACAAGAUGCAACCAAACUUGAGAAUUCAUACACUCAAGAAUAGAUUUGAUAGUAUGGAUUUCAUUUUCUAUUUAAAACAUAGGCAAUCUACCGAGACACAAGCUGCCAUAUCUCUCUGCAAGCAUGCUGCUAGGGGCCAGGGGAAAGAGCCUAGAGGUGUUGAGAUGAAAAGUUACCUUAGGAGGGUGCCUUUAAAUUAGUCCCAGAUGGCCCUCACCAAAUUUCAUCUAGCAAGUGGUGGGGGCCACUCCUCUGUUGCCUCCCUAACACAAGCAGGUGAAGCUGUGGGGCCAGGUCCUCCUCAAACAAGGGAGAUAAAGGGAGUCCCAGGAAUUGGGGACCUGGCCUAAGAAGGUGACAACUAAGAGGCUGGGCUUGUCCUAAGCCUCUCACAGUCAUGCUAAGGGGGGGGCUAGAUUGGAGAGGAGAACUGAAAGGCCCACUUGAGUUGAGGAGGUCCAUCCUCCUUCCCUUGAUCCCCCAAAUCACCCAGGGAUUCUAAAUGGCAAUCUGAAUCACCAAAACCAGGAAAAGGAACCUGGGACCCAUCAGCCCUGCUGCGCCAUUUGCGAGAUCAACCCUGGACCUGGUGACCCAUGUUUUGGGAAUGGCUUACAUUUGUAGUGGCCAACAGGUGCAUCUUAGGAAUUCUGGGGUUUAUGAGCCUGCAAGGUGGCUGUUACAGCCUCUGCCUUUUUCUUGAGCCUCCUUUUCCUCUCUUGGGCCUUCUGAUUACUGUUGCAAAAGACCAAGGCGGCCACUUGCAGGAGGUACUACCUGGUUCUAUGGCCUAUUUCUACAGCUUCUUCCUAAUAGCAGCAGCUGCCUGAUCUCCUAGGACCAGCUGUCCCUCUACUGAAUCAGGAGAUAGAGGGGUGUGUUUUACCAAGACCCCUCUUAGCCUUUCCAGGAAGGCACUAGGACUCCCAUCCAAUCCCUGAUCUACCAUGGAUAGCCCAGUUCAACUGAGAGGCCCAGGCCCAGCUCCUCACAAGCCCUCCAGUAUACACACCUGAAAGUUUUUCCUUCCAUUGUCCCGUUUCAUCACUGGGAUCCCACUAGGGUACUCCAAUGGUACUGCUAUUCUUCCAACUGGAUAAGGUUCCUCUCCUUCCCUGUUCCUAUACAAGAUGUAAAUAAAGUUCAUCCCCAACAUUCUUUGUCGCUUGCCAAGAAUGGCCUACUUUUCAGGGUUUGAUUCAAAAAGGAACAUGGCCGUCCUUCCAGAAGAGUUUAAAUACUUGGGUUAAGCUGUGGAGAGCCUCUCUCUCUCUCUCUCUCUCUCAUAUAUAUAUAUAUAUAUAUAAUCAGGGCUGUCUGAAAACCUGCCAAGAUCCCCCUUAAUUUACUUUAAGUCCUGAAGAGAAAAGGGGACCAGGACCUUAAUGGGGCCAUGUUCACCAGACAUCUGUUGUAGGGGCAGCUGAGACUGGGACCUGCCUAAAAUUAGGAUUCCUAGGCUGGGGUAAACUUGAGAGAGAACCUGGAUAGGGAGGGAGGAACAGAGGUGGAUUCCCCUGCUGGAAGUACCUCUGGGGUUUGCUUCCCUGCUUCCCUGGGAUUGCCCUUGUAACCUCCCCUGAAAUGGCCACUAGGAGGGUUGAAUCAAUCCUACAAUGUUGGCAAAGGUCUGUGUUAGGGUUAUCCUGCAAGGCAAAGAAGGCCUGCACAUAAGGGACCUUGGACCACUUGCCCUCGUGUUCACAGAAAAGCUUCCUUCCUGAAGCAGGGCUGCUUUUCUGUGCCUCAAGGUGCCUGGCACUAAGUUGCAACCAAGUAAAUUACAAGGUCAUUUUCACCACGAAUUUACUUACAGAUACCAAGGCACACUUGCUUUGGCUGUGCUACUCAACCUUCUGUUUUAUACUUUCAAUGACUAAGCUAAAUGCUCAUUCUAGGCAGUAACAUCCCUGGUUUGCAACAAACAUCCUUAACAUUCAACACUGUAUAGAAAAGAGAUAGGAACCAUGACAGCCGCCAAAGAAAGCAAGAAAUAAACAAUAGGAAAGACUGGAGGUCCUGGUGCCAAUGGGCAGUCAGGGACUGAGGUUAGUACAGAGGCCUUUGGAUAGAGACUGAGGUGUGCUCUCGGCCAGAUACCCUCAGUUGCCCCAGGACCUCCUUCCAGCCCCACACAAUGGCUAGACCUCCGUGAGGGGAAACUGAGUUGAAAGAAAGCUAACAUUCCCAACACCUGAGGGUGAUGGGGAGUUGACAGUGUCCUCCCCAGCAAGCCUGUCCUCUGUGUCUUGAGUCCUACAGCUGUGCUAGUCACUUUUAACUGGCUGACAGAGACUCAGUAGUUUUCCUCCAUUUUGACUAUUGCGGAGUUUAAAGACUCUCAAAAACAGGACAAAAUCAUUUUUACUCACCUUUCUGUAGAUGCUGAACAAGCCCCCAAAACGUUACGGGAUCUCUGGUUGGUUGAUUUUUCUGGCCGGAAAUCCCUCCGUGGUCGUGGAGUCUUUGACAGAGUUCUUCUCCUGUGUCCAGGAACACAGAUAAGUGAAGGGUGAAGAAGAAAAGUUUUUUUUUUUUUUUCUAUUAUAGGUAAAAUUCCUUUGGGUGAAUUACUCAGUUUUUUUUUUUAUUUUAAGAGAGAAAGAAAGAAAGAAAAAGGAAUGAAGAAGAGGAAAAAAGAGGAAGAAGAGGAGGGAGAGAGAAUGGGAGUGUUGCUUAAUUGCCCAGGCUAGAAUGCAGUCUAAAAAUGGGUAUUGAAAACCUCCCUUAAACCAUCAAUUGUGCUUAAUAAUGGCCAAGCAAUAUUUCAUUUAAACCUGUGAGUAGGUGUGAUGUGGUACUGAUAAGAGUGCAUGUCUUACGCACUCUUAUGCAAGAAGAAAACUUUUACUUAGUGUUAGAACAGCUCAGAGGAGCGGGUAGCAGAUGUCCAGUGCUCAGCUCUCAUCGGAGAGGAGGCCCUGCAGAGAAUUGCUUCUCUUGGCAGACAAGAAAGUAUCUCCUCUCUGCUGGCAGCUUGUCUCUGCAGCUGGUUGUCCUGUCUCUCUGUCCUCUUCUGCCUCUGGUCAUCUGCCCCACUCUGGCUGAGCCCACGGAUUUUACAAACCUCAGAGGGGAGGAAGUGCAUGCCUGUUGGUCCAUGGGUGGACCUGGAAGAGGCACCAUGAGUCCCCACUCCAGUUGGCUGGACUGGCAGCCAGGGCCUACGCCUUAGGCUCUCCCCUGGCCUGAAGGUGGAGCCUUACUGGGGGGACUUGACCCCUUCUGGUUAGGAAUCAAUCUGCCUCCUGGUGUCAUUCAUGGCCCCAGGGCUCUGCCUUAGUCGCCAGCUCAGAGACCUGAACAGGAGUGCCUGGAACAAAGAGGCCAGGCUGUGGGAACAGAUGCCUCUGAGCCUGCAGGGACAGCGGGGUUGAGGGGGGCUCCUUCCUGGGGCUCCCAAGGGUGCAGGUUGCAGAGAUACCUGGGUCCUGUGCCUGGGAAGGCAGCCACAGAUGCACCCCACCCGGGAGCUUCCACCCUGCCAACUUGGAAGAGGCAGGGCUCAUGUCUCCUGCCUGCUUCAUGGAGCGGGAGGUCCAGGUCUGCAGCCGAGGCAGGAGGGCAGAUCCUGCCUGUUCCCAGCUUCCCCAAGAGCACAGGGAGGCGCCAAACCACAGUUGCAAGUUUGGGCGGCUGUAGCCUACUCUGCAGAGCAGGAGGCCUGGGUCUGCAGCUGUGGUUUGGGUGGCUGCAGUGGCAGGGAGAAUGCCCCACACCAACUCAGAACAUGCAGGUCCCCCACUGGGUCUAUGAAGUAUGCAGCCCCAGCUCGCCCCCUGCUGCAGCUGGAAUGAUGGCAGCAGUCACUGCCAUCAGAGGCAUCAGGAGAAAAAGAAGCAAUGGAAUUUGGUCUCUGAAUGGAUUAGGAAAGACAGAUAGUUGAGAGACAUAGAAAUAAAACGUAGUUGGAUUCUGACUCCCCCGGGUGCCCGGUCCUCUCACGCACACAGCUGUCCCUUAGCCCUGGAGGGAGGCUGUGGCCUGUGGGGCACUGACUCACACACUUGUGUGUGGGACGUGGGGAUGGGAGGGUGGGCAGGCUCGUCUGUUGGUACCUCUGCCAUCCUUCAGUGCUCAGCAGCCUGUGCUACAUUCAGGGAUUGCUGCUCAUUGCCACAGAAGGUUUUUUCCAAAAGCCAAGCCGGCUCAAGUCUGUUUGGAAGCUCUGUGAGAGAAGGGGAAAGGGCAGGCAGGGGAGGGGCAGAGAGGGAAGUAAAGAGAAGGAUGAGACCUACAAGAGACUUCUUGGAUGUCACUAAUGUUGUCAUUUCCUUGAAAAGUCACACAAGUGUUGGGUUUACAAGUAUUUGUUAAACUGCUUGGACUUAUGCAUUUUUCUGUAUAUUGUUUUGUUUUGUAACAUUAAAAAAUGUUCAGAUGAAAACAAAGAGAGCAUGAGAACCUGAAUUAAGCAAGCCCCUUCCUUGCAUCUUAGUAACUGUAGAACUUUGGGCAGUAAAAAUAAGAGUAAAAGCUGUCUAAUGCUGCCAGUGUCCCUGUACUAAACGUGCACUAACUCACAGCGUUCUGUGAGUUAGAGAUAUAGUGCCCUUUGUACAGAAGAAGACACGGCUGUUAGCAAGGUAAAGAGGUCUGCCCUGUAUCACUCAGCCCGUAAGAUGCAGAGCCAGGUUUGGGCAUCAUGUCCUAUUAGGUCUACCCAGAACCUGCCCUCCUGCAGCGACAUAGAACAUGCCCUGCAAGGCCUGUUUGUGCCUGGCAGCGGUACUCACAAAUAAAACCACACUGUCAGGCUAUCCCUGGAGAUGAGUCCAGAAAAAGGCCCCUUCAUGAGAUUGGAAUUAGGAGAUUUGGUCUUGACAGCAUGAUUGAAAGUCUGCACUGGCAAGACAUGCUUAAUUAAAUGUGAUGGUUUUAACUGCUUCUGAAAGUAUACUUUAGGUUGAUGCAAUGUUUCUGCUGGGUUGUAUCAAAGAGAAUGCCUGAGAGGUUUGCUGCUUGAAAUACAUUAUAGCGGGAAGAGUUUAAAGUGCUUCAAGUGGUUUUUAUUUUUGUUAAGGGAUGUAUCAAAAUAAUGGAAACAUAAUUGACUCCCUCUGUGGUUCCUGGUGUGGCCUCUGGCUCUGAGAUACAUCAGCCAAUACCCUGAAGUCUGUGUACAAUAGUCCCUCUGCCCCUAAGCAACAGCAACAUGGACAGUCCUUGGGUCCUGAUGACCCUGGAGAGCUCUGGCUGAUGGAACUCAUCUUCUUCCAGUCUUGAAAAAUGACUCAGCACCUGGAGACUGAAGAUCAUCUGAAGCAUUAUCCAGUUGCUGUCUUCUGCUGCACAAGCAAGGGUUAUAAAACCAUGCAUGGAUUGAGGUUCAGGAUGUGGGGAUCUUGAGUGAUUGUAAAUGGCUCUAUGUACCUGAGCCAAGACCACAGAUUAUGUGGAAAUUUAUUCCACUGUGACCUAUCUGGUCCCUGAAAGCUCCUAUGCUCAUAACCCCAGUACUAUAAUGGCAUCCUCAUAUUUCCCCCAAAAGAGGGGUGCUUAGGCCUGAAUAUAAGUGGCAGAGGGAAGUUCAAGGGGGCAUGCAAGCCAUUAACAUGUACAUUUUCUUAAUGUAUUCAAUUAAAUAUUAAGACUGUGUUGCUGAACACCAGGGGUUUGGCCUAGGUCCAGUGGCUUGUCACACAGAAUGCCAAUCACUGAGACAAUGAGUAUUGCCAGGAAAGGAAAGCUUUAUUGCAGGGGAUGUCAGCCAGAGAGACAGGAGGCAAGUCUCAAAUUCAUCUCUCAGUUCAACUAAAGUUAGGGGUUCGUAUAGUGGAGAAGGAAAACAGGGAGACAAGGAAGAGGAGUUGGUCAACAGGCAGCAGGGGGUCAGAUGAGAGAUCUAGCUCUUUGUAACCACAUGUGUGCAGCAAAGCAGGAAUGAGGGAGGGGUAAGGAAGAGGAGUUGGCAAACAGACAGCAGGUGCAUCUAUUGUUCAGAUGCAGUGACUUAGAGAGCCUCAGUUCCCUAAUUUGGUCCGGGAGUCCUGAUGAUCAGAUUCCUGAGACAGGAACUUAGAUAAGAGAAAUAAAUCUAAGUUUCUCAAGCUUCAGUUCCAAAGGAAAACUGGGCUGGUCUCAGUCCCCCCUUUCUAUUUAAUCAAUUCCUUAAUCACAAGGAAUCUGGUCAUCGAUCUUUCUGUCUGCUUGACGCUGACGAGAGAGGCACACUGGGAUAAUGAGGAGGAAUGAAAAUGUUGCAUGUGUAAUCAGAAGUACCACGAGUACCUGGUUGGCAUCUAGCUUAUUGGAAUACCAUAAUCUGGGUACUUUUAUUACUGGUUUUAGAACAACAUCUUAAGCCACAAUGAACUAGGAUGAUCAAUAAUAUAGGUAACCCAAUUUUAAGAUAAUACAGAGUAUGGAGUGGAUCCACAGGGGGAAUCAAAGAGAACAAUCUUGGGCCUACCCACAAGUCUUCCUGAUUCAUCACAUCCCAGCCAAAUGGAGUGCUGUUUGGGUCACCAUCAAGGGAAAAGAGGCACUUACCUUCUUCUAGGAAACAGGGGGACUUUGUAGUCCCUAAAAGAUGUUUCAUAUAAGGCAUGCUCAGAACACUGUUUUUUUGGGGUUUGCAGAAGUUCAAAUGUGCAGGUAGGGACAUAACAAAUAGCUAUGAACUGGUUGGAUUAAGGGGUUGCUAUGGUCUAGAGCAGAUUGGGUUUGUUUUUGAGACAGAGUCUCACUCUGUUGCCCAGGCUGGAGUACAGUGGUAAUUCUCAGCUCACUGUAACCUCUGCCUCCUUGGUUCAAGCAAUUCUUCUGCCUCAACCUCCCAGGUAGCUGGGAUUACAGGCAUGUGGCACCAUGCCCAGCUAAUUUUUGUAUUUUUAGUAGAGAUGGGAUUUUGCCAUGUUGGCCAGCCUGAUCUCGUACUCCUGACCUUAAGUGAUCCACCCACCUUGGCCUCCCAAAGUGCUGGGAUUACAGGUGUAAGCUACUGCACCUGGCCAGAUUGGAGUUUUGGGUGACAUAUAUAACAGUGACAUAAACUGGCCAAUGAAGCAAGAACUUCACUGUGAAAUACAAAUUAAUGAGUCAUCCAUCUGGGAGCAGGAAGGAUCUGGAGAACAAUAGCAACCUGAAAAGCACAGAUUUUCUUUAUGAUUUCUUAUGUAGGGUUCUUUGGCUGAGCUUUGAAUAUUAACUUAAGGCCAUGGGAGUGUUCACUAGACCCUGACUGUUUCCCUGGAGGGAUUCCAUAGAAUGGAUUGGUGAAUCCAUGGUUUAACACUGGCUAACCUGACAGACGAGUUGAGUGGUCAGCAGCACCUCAAAAGGGCCUACCCAUUGUGGUUGCAGCUGGUGGGAUUUCCAGGUCUUCAGCCUUGGUUCCUGGUUUCAAAGAGUGGACAGGCAUGUUUGCAGGGAAGUGGAGUUUGUUGGAAACAGAGAGACUAGUCAAUAUACUUCGUAUAUUUCCUAACUGUUUUAUAUGUGACCUAGUUUCUGUUCCAGGGGAGGAAAAAUCUUCAAGUGACAGGGAGUCUGGGAGUCAGGGAAAUGGUCUCCCAUAUAAUAUUUCAAACAAGCUAAGAGCCAACCCACUUCUCAGGGGCGAGGAGGGUUCCCAUACCCUCAGCAGAGCAAGGGGAGAAAUCUUUUCCCAGGUAAGCAUUGUCUCUCAGCAAAAUUUAGAGACUUCUUUAAUGUUCAAUUCAUUAGAGUUCCUGGGAGUCCAUAUCAAGGAAUUAUUUUGUCCAUUAGAGCUUUUACAACUUCAGUAGCUUUCUGAAGCUUGUGGGGUAAGCCUCAGCCCAGCCUGUGUAAAGGUAUCAACCAAAACCAAAAAAUAUUCAGGGCUGGGGGCAUUAUGGCAAAAUCUGUUAUCAGACUUCUCUAGGAUUAGUACUUCUCCAUUGAGUUCCUUGUUUAAAAGGAGUUUUUGUGCCUUCCAGGAGCUUUGGGUUAUUUUUCCGGCAGAUAGGACAAUUUUGGCCUAUGGUUUGUAUUGUUCAUUGCAAGUCAGGCCCAGCAAGAUAAGACUGUAUCCAGUGUAGACCAGCCCCCCCACCCAUAAUGGGUGUUUUGAUGGAUUUUCUCAAGAAUCAGUCUAAUCAAAGUUUUUGGAAAGAGAAUUUUUAUUUCAUUAAGCCAUUGAUGAUUGGCAUGUUUAGAAAAGCCCCAGUCCUCAGCUCUUUUAAGAUCAGCCUCCAAAUAUCUUGGGUGAUGGGACUCCAAACAGAGUGGGAACAACAGGCGUCUGGGUAGGGGGUUCCCUGGCCGCCUUGUUCACCUGGCUAGCCUAGCCUUCACAUUUCCCUGUGCAGCAUGAGUGCCUGCCUUCUGGUGUCCUUGACAGUGAACAAUUUUAUUUCUUUGGGCGUUUUUCUGUUUCUAAUCAUUCAAACAUUUGAGGACCAUGUUUUGUUAUUGAAAGUGAGGUGGCCCUUUUCCUUCCAAAUUAGCCCUUGAAAAUGGGCCAUUAGAAAAGCAUAUUUGGGUGUCAACAUUGAAUUGCUUUCCCUUACUGGAUAUAGAGUUCUGGCUAAAGCUCAGCCCUUUGGGUGCAUGUUCCCGGGGGAAGGGCUUGCACCUAGACUACCUGCUGAGCAGUAACUGCAGCAUCCCUGGCCCCUCUGAAUCCUUGCUCCAUGAAACUUUGGUCAGUGAAGAACUCUUUGUCGGGGUCUGUCAAUGGCAAGUCUGUGAGGUUCAGUCUGCUAGAGUAAACCCGAUCAAUUAUUUGAAUGCAGUUAUGAACAGGAACUGGAGUUUCCCUGGUAGCAGGGUAGGCAGGAUUCAGAGUAGAAACAGCCUUAAGAGUUACAUUUGGUAGGAAAAAAAAAAAAAAAGGAAAAUGCUCAACAUCAUUACUCAUCAGGGAAAUGCAAAUUUCCCCACGAUGAGAUAUCACCUUACCCCAGGCAGAAUGGCCAUUACUAAAAAGUCAAAAAAACAAUAGAUAUUGCUGUGGAUGUAAUGAAGGGGAAUGCUUACACACUGCUGGUGGGAAUGUAAAGUAGUACAAUCUGUAUGGAAAACAUUAUGGAGAUUACUCAGACCUAUAAAGUGCAAUUACCAGUCGAUUCAGCAAAUCCCACUUAUGGGUAUCUACCCAAAGGAAAAUGAGUCAUAUCAAAAAGGCACAUAUAUGUUUAUUGUAGCACAAUUCACAAUUGCAAAGAUAUGGAAUCAACCUACGUGUCCAUUAACCAAUGAGUGGAUAAAGAAAAUGUAGCAUAUACACACAACAGAAUGCUACUGAACCAAAAGAAAGAAUGAAGUCAUGUCUUUUGCAGCAACUUGGACAGAACCAGACUCCAUUAUCCUAAGUGAAAUAGCUCAGCAAUGGAAAGUCAAAAACCACAUGUUCUCACUUAAAGUGGGAGGUAAGCUAUGGGUACACAAAGGCAGAGUGCUGUAACAGACAGUGGAGACUCAGAAUGGGGGAUGGUAAGAAAGGAAGUGAGGGAUGAAAAAUCGCCUUUUGGGUACAGUGUACACUAUUCAGGUGGCAGGAACACUAAAAGCCCUGACUUGACUGCUAUAUAAUUCAUCCAUGUAGCCGAAAACCACCUGUACUCCUAAAGCUGUUGAAAUAAAAAAAUAAAAACAAAAAAAGAGUUACAUUUGAGUUAUAGUAGCUUGUUCCAGCAUCAAUCAGAAAAUUGACCAAUUUAUCACUCACUAUAACGGCUGCCCUAAGCCCCUGGCAGGUAACAUUAAGAAAGGGAAAAAGCCUUAGAGUCCCAUCAUUUCAGGUCAUCUCUGUUGAAACCAGCCAUUUGCAAGACUGCGUCUUGGACCCUGAUCUAUUCAACUUGGGACAAUCUUUGUUCUAGCGUCUCUCUUUUCUGCAAUCAGCACAUUGGUUUUUUUCCUAAGGUGUGUGUGGGGGAAGGAGGGGUCUUUCUGAGUCUUUUCUUCCUUUGUGGCUUUUGCCCUUUUGGAGGAGGCCAUUCCAGACCCUUAGCUAAGUCUGCUGCUGAGAACUUAGCCUGCCGUUGCAUCUCCUGCAAUUUUCAUUUCUACUUUUGUUCCUAGUCUGCUCUAGACUCAGAAAGACCUGAUAUGCCACGUCAACCAAGUGAGAUACUGGCAAUGGUAGGAUGCCCUCUGAUUUUUGCAAUUUCUGUUGAAUUAUACUCUGCCCUAUAAAAGUCAUAUUAAUUAACCUGGAAUUCUCAAGACUGUCUGCAGCUAUCUCUGUAUAUUUCCAAUAAGCCUCCAAAAUCCUUUUUCCCAAAAUGCUAACGAGCUCUUCUCCACUUCUUGUCUAAUUUUUUGAAUCUUGUUGAUGCCUUUGGACACCCUUCCUGAGCCUCAACAAUAUACAAUCCCAAAAAUGCUGGAUUUUUAUCUUCCUCCCUGUCCUUCAGAUUCCACUUGGGGUUAUAAACGGGCAUUGCCAGAUUGGUGCUGGCCCUCACCUGGUUAUUAGAAUCUUCUGUGUGUGACUGGUCUACCUUCUCCGGAGCCUUUUCUAGCACUAGACAAUGCUUUUUAAAUGUCAACAAAAUGCUAAGGAGGCCCUGAACAUCGGCCCAGGUGAGAUGAUGAUAGACUCAAAAAGUUCAGUUAUAUAUUUUGGGUCAUCCCUAUAAGCAGGUGUAUUAGUCCGUUUUUCUAUUACUAUAAAGAAAUACCUGACACUGGGCAAUUUAUUUAAAGAGAGGUUUCAUUAGCUCACAGCUCUGUAGGCUGUAUAGGAAGCAUGGCGCCAUCUGCUCCUAGCGAUGCCUCAGGAAACUUACAGUCAUGGAGAAAGGCAAAGUGGGAGCAGGCAAAUUACAUGGUGAAGACAGGAGCAAGUGGUGGGGGAGGCGCUACACAUUUGUCAACAACCAGGUCUCACAAAAGUCACUAUCAUGAGAAUAGCAUCAAGGAGAUGGUGCUAAACCAUUCAUGAGAAAUCCACUCCAUGAUCCAGUCACCUCCCACCAGGCCCCACCACCCAAUACUGGAAAUCACCAUUUGACAUGAGAUUUGGGUGGGAACACAGAUCCAAACCGUAUCAGCAGCAUUGUUUCGCUCCCAGUAAUACAAACCAGACGUGGUGAAUGGGCUGCACACACACAUCAUUCCAAUAAGCUGUCCUCCUUCAGCCAGACGCCCAAGCAGGGACCUGUCUCAGAGGAAACUGCCCUACAGGGAGGAGUCGCAGACCCUGGCCAAACUGUGUCUCUUGGUGGGUACAGAAGGGUGAGACCGUUUCUCCAGAGUUCCCAGACAUCUCCUUGGUGAGAGGAGAGAGUGAAGGAAAAAGGAGAGAAGGACCCAGUGCAACUAAGGUAGGGGUUCCAGGUCCAGAACGAGGAGGACUGGCAGGAGUCAGGAAAGGGUUUCUCAAAGGUUUGGGAGUCUCAGGAGUUAGAGCCACUGGAGAAGCUGAAGCUGAUCCCAGGGAAUCAGGCAGGGAAUCCUGAGAUAGCAAGGCUGUGGUUGCAAAGGGUUCUUCAUUUAAGGGAGAAUUCUCCUCUGUUGGUAAUAUUGGAAACCUUAGAGGAAAGCACAGGCUUUUAACCAUCCUUCUUAAAAGCCUCUGUCUAUUGCAUCAAAACCUUAUGUUUAAGUUCAUAAGUUCAUUCUAAUAAAGGAGCAUAAAAGCCUGGGCAUAAGGAAUUUUAUCCCACUUGCCUAUUCAACAGCAAAAUGAACCUACUUCUGAGAUAGUAUUAUAUUGUAAAGACCUACGGAGAGGCCAGACUUCUCCAGAUUCCAAAGAAUACUGAGGCCAAACAGUAUUAUAGAAUAUUGUGAUUUUCUUUCAUUCCAUGGGCUCAUGACUGUAUUCAGACUAAUUUUAAAGAAUGCACCCAAGUGAGCUGCCUCUGGGAUCAAAUUCUGAUUUCCCAUGACUGUAUAGACACAUAGACAAACAAACAUCAAAAUACAGUGUGAUUGCAGUAGUGACUAACAAGCUCCAUGACGUUCAAAACUGAAAGAGAUAAGGGGUUAUAUUAUCCUGUGACCCCAGAGAGCUCACAACUGUUUCUCCCAGGAAGUCCCUGCAGUUGCUUAUGGAGUGCUUUCCAUUCUCAGUUGGGUGGACUUAUUUAACUACAACAAGUGGAAAUUCUUUCAGAAUUCCCCAAAUUGAGAAGCUCCCACUGUCUGGUGCCCACAAAGGACACUCACCAUCCAGACACAGAUGUCAAUUGUCAAAGGCUGUUCUUCCUAGGCAAUCAGGAAUGCAGUUGGGGCCAGCACAGACAGGGCCAAAGAGACCAAAAGCAACCUUCUGCCUACCAACCUCUAUGUACCGGCUCCACCACCUGCUGCCCCACCUUGGGCAAAUCACAUCUUGGCACCUUACUUUCCUCAUCUGAAAAAAUGAGGAUGGUGAUAACAGUACCUACCUCAUAGAGUUCUUGUGAGGAUCAAGUGGGUUAAUUAGUGUAGGACCUUUAAAAGGGGUCUGGCGUAGCACAUACACUCAGCGAAUGUUAGCUAGCAGCAGUGGUGGGAAGCCUAAGAGCAGAAGGACGAGGAAGGGUAGCCAUCCUCUUUAGAUAUCCCAGCCUGGUGCUCUGGGAAAGCCAGCUAUGCUCUGGGCUGAAGUUCUCCUCUCUGAUCUGUGCUCUAUUUGCUUUCAGUGUUAUCAUGUUUUUAAAUCCAUAAGCAACUGCAGGGACUUCUUGAGAGAAAUAGUUAUGAGCUCUCUGGGGUCAUGGCAUAAUACAACCCCUUAUCUCCUUCUCACAGAAGCUUUUGAGUUCCCUAUUUGCCUUUUCCAGGUGAAGAGAGCAAACAUCAGUCUGGAAGAGGAAAACCUGGCCUCUGGAUUCCACCUGAUUUCAUUUCCAUUAUCUUCCCUUCCACCCAGAUCCAUGCCAGAGGUUUUUCAGUACUAAAUAGAAAAAGAGAGAAAAACAAACAGCUUUUUCACUGGAUCCUGAAAUGUUUUCCUCAGAGGCAAGGCAGGCUACACCAUUCUAGUUCAGUGGUGUUACUAACCACUGGAGGUCAAGAGUGGAAAAGACAUCGUUCCUGACAUAUCAAUAUACAAGUUCUUCAAGUAAAGCCGAGGAACUCAAAGCACAGCCUCCUCAUUUAACAUGUUGAUGUAGAUAGACAUCUGGAAGCAGCAGAGGACAGUGUGCUGGACAAUGCUGGCCUGCUCUGGCUUCUAGACAGUUAUAAACCUUCCUUCCUCUCAGGCCGUCAGGCUGGGGCCUCAGCAGUGAAACUCAGUAAGACUCAAAGCACUUGGCAAACAGAGAUGAUGAUAACAGAGAUCAGAGGGAAAAGAGUAUCUUCCUGCCUUUUGAGUUUCAAAACCCUAGUACUUUAUGGAAACAAAAGCCUCUGGCUCAAAAUGUUUGAGGGAAAACCUGGUAGAUGGGAGCCCAACACCCUACUCCCCCAGCUGGCCCCAGAGAUAACAGAAGAUCCUUCUUGGGGGAACUGAAAAAAGAGGAAGAGAUAUGAGGGCUAGGGUUCGUGGGUCUCAACCCCACUCUCCAUGUCAUGCCCUGCAAAAUCUGUGUAGACCUCAAGAAGAGGAGACCUGGACCUGUGCUUUGUUUCCCAGGGAAACACCUAGAGAAGCAGCUAGACUCAAAAAAAUUAGAUGGUUAAAGGUGGUAACUAAAAAGAUGGGGUCUUAGAUGGCUGCCAGAAACUUCCAUACAGCUCAGACUAGCUUGAAAAUCAGAAGUUGAUCCCUAUGUGCCUGAGACAUGGUAUAUCAAUGGAACUGAAAGGGAGGGGGCAAGAGGGUGGGACCCAGGGGCAUCCCUGCAGCACCUAUAGAGUUCAACAACUGUGGGCCCAAUGCAACAAUGGACAUCACAGUGGACACUGUACAGACAAGUGAUGCAGAGAAUCAGUGGGCUCCCUGAGGCCGCAGGAUAUUAUAACCCCUUCUCUCUUUCUCACAGAAGCACUUGAGUUCCCUAUUUGCCUUCCCUAGGUGAACAUAAUGAACAUCAGGUCAGAAGAGGAAAACCUGGCCUCUGGAUGCCACUUGAUCUCAUUUUCCAUUUUCCUCCUGAACCUUUUGUAAAACUUUGUAUUAGUCUGUUUUCACACUGCUGAUAAAGGCAUACUCGAGAUUGGGUAAUUUAUAAAGAAAAAAAUGUUUAACAGACUCAAAGGUCUGGGGAGACCUCACUAUUAUGGUGGAAGGUGAAAGGCACAUCUUACAUUGCAGUAGGCAAGAGAGAGCAUGUGCAGGGUAACUCCCCUUUAUAAAAGCAUCACAUCUCCUAAGACUUAUUUGCUGUCACGAGAACAGCGUGGGAAACACCCCCACCAUGAUUUAAGUACCUCUCAAAACAGGUCUCUUCCACAGCACAUGGGGAUUAUUACAAUUCAAGAUGAGAUUUGGGUGAGGAAACAGAACCAAACGAUAUCAUUUUGCCCCCAGCCCCUCCCAAAUCUCAUGUCCUCACAUUUCAAACCCAAUCAUGCCUUCCAACAGUCCCCUAAAGUCUUAACUCAUUUUAGUAUUAACUCAAAAGUCCACAGUCCAAAGUCUCAUCUGGGACAAAGUCCCUCUAUCUAUGAGCCUAUAAAAUCAAAUGCAAGGUAGUUGCUUCCUAGAUACAAUGAGGGUACAGGUAUUGUGUAGAUACACCUGUUCCAAAUGAAAGAAACUGGGCAAAAUAAAAGGGGGCUACAGGACCCAUGCAAGUCCAAAAUCCAGCAGGGCAAUCAAAGCUCCAAAGUAAUCUCCUUUGACUCUGUAUCUCACAUCCAGGUCAUGCUAAUACAAGAGAUAGGCUCCCAUGGCCUUGGGCAGCUCCACCCCUGUGGUUUUGCAGGGUGCAGCCCCCUUGCUGGCUGCUUUCAUGGGCUGGCAUUGAAUAUCUGUGGCUUUUCUAGGUGGGUGGUGCAAGCUGUCAGUGGAUCUACCAUUCUGGGAUCUGGAGAACGGUGGCUCUUUUCUCAAAGUUCCACUAGGUAGUGCCUUAGUGGGGUCUCUGUGGGGAGGUUCCCACCCCACAUUUCCCUUCCACCCUGCCCUAGCAGAAGUUCUGCAUGAGGGCCCUGCCCCUGCAGCAGACUUCUGCUUGGACAUCCAGGCAUUUCCAUACAUCCUCUGAAAUCUAGGAAGAGGUGUCCAAACCUCUAUUCUUGACUUCUGUGCACCCAUAGGCCCAGUACCAUGUGUAAUCCACCAAGGCUUGGAGUUUGCACCCUCUGAAGAAACAGCCUGAGCUGUAUGUUGGCCCCUUUUAGCCAUGGCUGGAGUGGCUGGGACACAGGGCACCAAGUCUCUAGGGUGCACCCAGCAGGGGGUCCUGGCCUUGGCCCAGGAAACCACUUUUGCCUCCUAGGCCUCCGGGCCUGUGAUGGGAGGGGCUGCUGUGAAGGUUUCUGACAUGCCCUGAAGACAUUUUUCUCAUUGUUUUGGUGAUUAGCAUUUGGCUCCCAUUACAUAUGCAAAUUUCUGCAUCUGGAAUGAAUUUCCUCCAGAAAGUGUUUUUCUUUUCUUUUGCAUUGUCAGCCUGCCAAUCUUUCAAAAUUUUACGCUUUGCUUUCUCUUGAAUGCUGAUACCCUAAAUCAUCUCUCUCAAGUUCAAAGUUCCACAAAUCUCAGGGCAGAGGGAAAAUGCCACCAUUCUCUUUGCAUAGCAACAGUGACUUUACUCCAGUUCCCAACAAGUUCCUCAUCUCCAUCUGGGAUCACCUCAGCCUGGAUUUCAUUGUCCAUAUCACCAUCAGCAUUUUCAUCAAAGCCAUUCAACAAGUCUCUAGCCUAAAGUUCCAGACUUUUCCACACUUUUCUGUCUUCUUCUGAGCCCUCCAAACUGUUCCAACCUCUGCCUGUUACCCAGUUUCAAAGUCACUUCCACAUUUUUGGGUAUCUUUACAGCAGUGCUCCACUCUCCUGGUACCUAUUUACUGUCUUAGUCCAUUUUCAUGCUGCUAAUAAAGACAUACAUGAGGCUGGGUAAUUUAUAAAGAAAAAGAGGCUUAAUGGGCUCACAGUUUCAUGUGGCUGCGGAGGCCUCACAAUCAUGGGAGAAGGUGAGAGGCUUGUCUUCCAUGGUGGCAGGCAAGUGAGAGCAUCUGCAGGGGAACUCCCGUUUAUGAAACCAUCAGACCUCAUGAGACUUAUUCACUAUCACCAGAACAGCAUGGGAAAAACCCACCCCCAUGAGUCAGUCACCUCCUACCAGGUCUCUUUCAUGACACAUGGGGAUUAUUACAAUUCAAGGUGAGAUUUGUGUGGGGACACAGACCAAAUCACUAAAACCAAAUCACUCCUAGACCCUAGCCAAGCCUGGGCUAAAAGAAUGAGAAUCCCUAAUUUGUCUGAGGCUGGGCGCGGUGGCUCAAGCCUGUAAUUCCAGCACUUUGAGAGGCUGAGGCAGGUGGAUCACAAGGUCAACAGAUCGAGACCAUCCUGGUCAACAUGGUGAAACCCCGUCUCAACUAAAAAAAAUACAAAAAAAUUAGCUGGGCAUGGUGGCGCAUGCCUGUAAUCCCAGCUACUCAGGAGGCUAAGGCAGGAGAAUUGCCUGAACCCAGGAGGCGGAGGUUGCGGUGAGCCAAGAUCACGCCAUUGCACUCCAGCCUGAGUAACAAGAGCGAAAUUCGGUGUCAAAAAAAAAAAAAAAAGAAUGAGAAUCCCUAAUUUGUCUGAGAUUCAUUUCCCAUCACCCUAUCAGGCUGACAGUUUAAAAAACAAAUUGAGCUUCACAUUUGAAAGAGUUAUUUUUGCAAUCUGUGGCCUGAAAUACACAUGCAUCCUACAAGUGUGCAUAAUAUUGCAUAAACCAUUCAGCCUGGGUUAUCACUACUGAAGACUUCUCUCCAAAUGGCAGAUUAGUAAACUUAGGAAAAAUAAGUAAAAUUUGUUGUGGGUUGAUUAUUCGGGGGGUUUAUUCCAUGUUUGGCAGGACACUGCCCACAUUGCAACAGAACAGGACAGUCGCCAUAGGUGAAGGUAGGCUAAAGAGGAACCUUACAACCCACAAAUCCCACGCUGUUCCCAUGGGGUAUAGAGACAGUUGACUAAUGUUCCCAGAUUCCCAAGGAGAUUUUAGAAUUCUGAGAGGAAGGGUGAUCCAGAAGUGAUCUCAGACUUGGAAGAGAAAGUUACAGAGGACAAUGAAUGGCAGGGACUUUCAUCAGCAGGGGAGGGGAGUACCAUUAGACACCUGAUGCUCAGGCCUCCAGCUGCACUGCAGUAAAUACUACAGGGACAGAAAGUGACACCCAUAGACUGAGCAGGAUGAAGCCCCGCAAAAAGUGCCCACUGGAAAGCAGCCACCCCUUUUCCAAUGUUGGAAAAUAUAUCCUCCCCACCCCACUGCACUCAUGUCACCUCAGGAAGAAAGGCAGGUGAAAAUAUAAAGAGGAAAGAAGCUGUGAAAAACAGCAUUUAUCUGACAAUAAUAAGCUUUGAACUUGACAGUGAUUGAGAAAAUAACAUUUGGGUGUGGCUGAAAAAAAAUCCCUAGAUUAGAUUGGAAAUACCAGAAUCAGAAAGAUUGAAUUAUCUUUCUUCUCAAGAGCUACGUUGAGUUCAGUAUUUGAAAAUAAUGUCACAUUUGCUUAAGCUGCUGUUCAUGAUGGUCUGAUAUAGACCUGUAAUACUGGGCGAGAGAAAUAGAAGAAGAGUAGUAUCGUGGGAGUGUUCAGGGGACAAGAGCAGAGAGCAGCAGGCUACUGUGAGCAGGGGGGUCCAAAUUACAAAGAGAUGUAAUCCUAAAAAGGGGCUUUUAUGGGGGGAAACAUUGCAUUUAGGCUAGAAAGUCACAUUAAGCUUCACAUUAGGAAAUUCACAAAGGUAGCAAUAAAGAGAGAUGAAAGAGGAUGGUGUUGGAAGCAGAGAAACCAGAAAGGAAGUUAACUUACCAGUCCAGGAGAUAGGAGUAGCAAGGUCAGAAGAAGGGAUGGAUUUCAGAGAAAUUUAGAAAGUGAAAUAAUAAAGAGAACUUGCUGCUUGAUACCUGACUAAAAAGACGGUGAGGGGUUUCGGGUAACUUGUCAAGGGUGAGAUAUUGCAGGUAAUCGGCUGCCAGCUCGUUUGGACUACUGAGUGCAUGUGAGUGUCAUUCACUAGAUUUACCAGGAAAGGCAGGCUGAGGGGGUGGCAGGUUAGAUGGUGAUAGGAAAUAAAACGGACGUGCUGACGAUGAGGCACCUUCCAACAUUCAGUUGGACAGUUGUGCUAGCCUGAAAUUCAGAGCCGAGAUCUGGAAAGGAACAAAUUCUUGGGAGUCAUGAACAUACAUAUGGUAGCUAAAGCAUUGCAAUGCAUGAAGUUACCUGGUAGCCAGACAUAGAGUGAAAAGAGAAAAAGGGUCCACAGGCAGAGAUGUCAGGAGGACGGAUGUUGGGCAGAGCAGGGAGAGCCUGUAAUGAGCUCUGGUGAUGAGCAGAUGGGGUUGGGGAGGGAGCCAGGAGAGGCGCUGUCCAGAUGAAUGAAUGGAGGGUUUGCAGAGGGAGUGGAAGCUGCAUCAGAGUCCUGGAGGAGCCGGGUAAGCUGGCGCCUGUGGAUCAGAAGCUCUGAGUUACAGCAUCACUGCAUUUCUUCUUUCUCUAUGGCUACAUGGUGCUAGAUGAGCUCCGGGCUGCUGUACGCUGCCUAACUGAGCCACCAACCCACAUGGGACUUAGUUUUUGUUUUUCUCCCAUUGCUCCCCUGAUUUAUCUUAGAACAAGUAAGUUAGCUUCAAAGUGACAGUAGAAUGGCAAGGACUAUGUACCAUGUGGGGGCAAAUCUGACCUUCUGCGUGGAUCCCAGCCCCACUGUCCCUGUGACACUUGCAUCCAAUCUGCACGUCCCCUGAACUCCAGGUGCUGGAGCUGCUAAGAGUCCCCAAAAUACUUUGGAGAAUGAUGCCGGGGCUGUAUGGAGCGCUCUUACAGUGGCCCCCAGACAGGACAGAUCCAUGCUUUCAACUGUUGUGAAACGUUUUCUAUGGCCAUUUGUCUCCUUAGGAGCUGGACAGCGCUCAGUGCUAACCUCAUUUUGGUUUUUGGACCUGCAUAAACUUCUGGCCCCUUUUGCUUCCACCGCAUGGGUCAUUCAGAGUAGAGGCGAGCAUUUUGUGCUUCAAUCACAAAUGGAAUCCAAAUGCAUUAAUCACACACUCCUCAGAAGGGCCCACGCGAAGAAGCUGGGGCACACAUAAAAAGCAGCGAGAGUCUGGCUAUGAUCGACCCCCUCUUCAUCCCAGCAGCUCAGUGAAAGGGUCGAUGGAGGCACUUCUCCUCUCCCCUCGUGCCUCUCCUGGUCUGCUGGCUGCUAAGCUGUGGGAAGCCACUCUGCCCCUGCGACCCAGGGCAACGCUAUCAGUGGCAAAGAGACAGACCUGGGGAACAGGGUGGCCAGCUCGCGGCUGAGGCAGUGGGGGCUGUGUAUCUUGGCUGCUUCCCUGCCUGGAAUCCCUUUGCCCUGGGGCCACAGCACCCCAGACCACCCCCACAGACAUGCCCUGCAACCUGGUCUGACUUUGGCCAGCACAGGACCCCGUCAGCAGUCCCCGGGGAGUUGUGGGUUCCCUGGGUAUUUAACUUCGGGGCAGAUCACCCCUCAGGAAAGGGGCAGCGCAGCCCAGCAAAGCCCCCACUGGGACAAAGGAAACGUGGACUCGAGGCUAACCGCUGAAAGUUUCGGGGCACCACCCACCCCCAAAGAUGGAGACAGGGUCAUCUCUCACCACAGACUCCCUUCCCAGUGCAAAGCAGCCAUUCUUCCUGUCGGGGCCUACUGAGCAUGCACUGAUUAAGGAUUCCAGGAAUUGAGGUUGGGUAAUAGGAGCAGCUUGCUCUCCUGCAGCUGACAGUUUAUAAAUAUAGACUUUCUGGGUCCAAAGGAAAAGAAACUGUGUCUCCGAUGCUGCAGGCUUAGCCACAAGCAAAAUUAUGGUCAGCAGAGGGUCUUGCAAUCUCUGGGUCUCUCUUCUUUUGUCAACCUGAUGGGGAUACCCAGCUCCCAGAACAUCGCACAUGGCUUUGCCAACAGUCACACUCAGUAAGUCUUUUAUGAGCGAAUUAAAGGAACGAAUGAAACAAAUGAAAAAAUAAGCAGCACAAGCUCUCAGAGCCUGCAGGCUGCUAGUAGAGACACAAUAGACUACAAAGCAAUAGUAUACUGUCCCAUGGGGACUCUGCACUGCUUUUAAUCCUUUUUCUGCAUCGUCUUUUCUCCAUGCCUCUUACACAAUCACUUCACUCAUUCAACAAGUACUCACUGGGCAGUGCCAGUACACACACCAGCAGUGAACAGCUUAUAUUCUGAAAGGGAGGGGCUGAAAACACAGGUUUUAUGGCUGCAGAUAAUUUUAAAUGAAUGUUAUUAAGGCCAUAGCAAAGGAUGAUGUGACAGUGAUGAAGACUGGGGGACAACUUCAGAUAAGACACUCACGGCUUCGCUGAUGGAGGGAUAUUGGCCAUCUGCUGGCUACUCAAAUGGAAACGGGCCUUUCCGCAGAUGGCAUCAUCAAGGAGAAUGAAUUUCAGACUGGAAAAUCCCAGCAGAGGUAGUAAAGAGGACAUUCAACUGUAGAAGCAAUAGGAGUCUAGCAGCUAAUGAUUUUAAAUUCUGCUCAGAAUAGCUAAAAGCAUGAGGGAAUUUACAGAUAUAAUCCCAGAAAUUGAGUAAUCUUUAAUUAUGGAGGACAAAAGGGGAGCUAAACACAAUUAUUCACCACAAGGGAAGAAAAUUAAGAUUUGGGUCCGGCUUGCUGAGUUUAAUGUGAAUUCUCAGCAAAAUGCAAGACUGACUUUCAAAAAGCUCGUUUGCAUGUCCUCAAGGAUUUCCUUGUCUGCUCAGCAGAUUGUCCACCUGACCCUGAGCUGUGAGUGUUCAGAGCAUAGACCGCCUUUGUCCAAACCUGAGUUCAUUACGUCCCUGACUCAUCUGCCCUUGAUUUACAUUUAAUGUACUCACAUUCACUCAUUCAUUCAUUUCACAAAUACUUAGUGAACCCUAAAUGGCAGUUAGGGUGCUAAAUGCUAGGGAUACAAAAAAAGAAGAAUAAAGUGCAGUGUUGCCUGCAGCAACUUCAGAAAUUAGGUGGUAGGAAUUCCAAUCCAGAGCUGCUGCUCAGCUGGCUAUGUGCAUGUGGACAAAUGCCUUAAUUUCUCUGCAUGCGGCCGUUUCCUCAUCUGUCAAAUAGGGAUGGCACAGACUUGACACUAAAAUAUGUAUGGACAGAGGGAAGAUGGGAAGAGGGAAGGAGCUGGGAGGGGAAAAGGGGCAGAGGAAGGAAGGAUUGGCACUUACCUCAUUCGUGAGGACUGGCUGAAAUAGAAACACCUCACGCAGCACCUGGUGCAUGGUAAUAUCUAAAAUUACUGCCCCUCACUUCAAAGAGCUCACCAUCGAGUGAGGAGCUAGGCACACAGUUCAGAUAAUGGCUAACAUUCAUUGAGUGCGUAUAAUGUGCCAGUUACUGUUCUAAACUUUACACAUUUAGACUCACUUCAUCCUCAGCACUUGGUGAGUUUGGGUCUCUUACUAUUCUCCUGACUCCAUAGAUGAGAACUGCAGGUAUAGAAGGGUUAAGUAACUUGCCCAAGGUCACAUAGGAGUGAGUGGGCAGCAGAGCUGGGACUCAAGCCCAGAUACUUUGGCUCUAAUCACUGCACCCCCCUGUCUCCCGCAAGUACGAGCAACUGUGAAUAUGCCAUGGGCACAUGCUAUCAUGGUGGACUUGCAGCACUAAGGAAGUGAUGCGGCCGAGGAAUUCUCCUGGGGUAGGGGGAUUUCUGCAUUUGGGAAUUUCAGGAUGCCCAUGAGGAGGGAGUCAGAGGAAGAGGAGGCAAAGAGAAGCAGAGACAAGACAAGAGGAGCCAAGAACUGGAGGGCACAGAGGAGCAGACCCAUGUUGAAGCAGGGAUGGGUGAUGAAGGUCACGCUGGUCGUGCAGCCACAUAUACCAUGAGAGGGGCUUGGACUUUAUCCUCUAAGCAAUGGGAGUCACAGGAAGCAGCAUGAUCAGAAUUGCACUUUAGAAAGAUUACUCUGGGGGCUGACUGGACAUGGAAAAUGGAGGGUCAUGGACUACGGAGAGCCAGUUGGAGGGUUGCUGCCAGGGUGCCUCUGGGAUUGUGGCCAAAGGGAUGGACCGGUUCACAACAUAUUUGGAAGAUACAGUUAGAAGAGAGCACUUCUCAUCGAAUUAGAAGGCUGAAUGAGAAAGAGAGGAUGAGGACAUCUCCCAUCCCCUUGGAAGCUGGGAGGAUGGUGGUAGCAUCUCCUGGACUAUGGAAAUGCAGGAAGAAACACUGGUAGAAAGCUCUCAGAAACAAGCAGCUGCCUGCAUCCCAAAGUCGGGGAGUUCUCCACCUUCCUUUGAAAAUAUUUCUUUUAGAAUGAGAAACUUUAAACAUAUAGGAAAGUAGGAGGAAUAGUACAAUAAAUACCCAUCACCUGGAUUCAACGGCUCUUCCACAGUGUUUCCCACAUCGGCUUCACAUACACAUAAUAUAGAUUAUAUUUUUAUUGUUAUGCAACAUUUCAUUUUAGUUUUUACUGUUGUCAAAUCAUUUUAAACAAGCUACAGACAUCAUUACAUUUACCCUUAAAAACUUUAGUGCAUAUCGCCAAAAAAUAUACAGCUAAGCAAUCAGAAUACCAUUGUCACACUUUAAGACAAUUAAUAACUAAUAUCUAAGGCCAUAUUAAAAGUUCCCUAACAGUCCCCAGAAUUAUUUUAUAGUACAUUUUUUCCAAAACAGGAUUCCAUUAAUGACCCCAUAUUGCUUUUGUUACAUCUCUUUAGUCUCUCUAAAUCUCCAACCGCCCUUGCCACAUGAUUCUCCUGGGUGUUUUGAUAUUGACUCAUUAAAGAAACCAAGUCAGGUUGGUUUCUUUCCUUUCUAUCCCAAGCCAAGUAUAAUAUCUCACAGCCUGGGUUUGUUGAUUGUUUCAUCCCAUGUCACUUCUAACUUGUUCCUCUCUUUCUCACAUUUCCAGUAAAGUGGAAGUUCUAAAGGCUUGACAGGAUUCAAGUCAGACAUUUUGAUGAGCAUGUGUCAUUGGUGACACCAUGGCAUUCAUACAGCAUCCAACACCAAGGUUUUGGUUUCAAAAUACCAUCCUGCUAUUAUGCUACCAAAUGAAACCUGACUGAUUUCCGGUUGGGGACAGGGAAUAAAGUAGGUGGUCCUUGUUCUAGAAAGCACAGAAGUAUCCAUGUACUAACAGGUCAUGUCAAAAGAACCCAAGAGCCAGCUUAAGGGCAACCACUGGUCAAAUCUGGAACACACUGAGCAUCAAAAUGAAUGACUGGAAAUGAUCAAAACACAAUACAUAAAAAUCUAUAAUACUCAAUAAUCAAUCAAUAGUAAAAAAACAUAAAUCCUCUGUUACUCUAAGAAGUAGGAAGGCCCCAGGUACUGUUGAGGCUGUUUGCUCUCAAUAGCAUCUCAAUCUGAUGUGGGAUUCUGUAUCUUGAAUCCAGAAUACUCUGAUCUUGACUUAAACUUGGACCAAGAACACAGCUACCCCUCAUGUGUGUCUGGAACAUCUGAUUUAGGUACCCACGAUGAUUCUCUGCUGCCAGGAAACUAGUCUCCACUGAUAUUAAACAACUGCACGGUAAUUUAAGCUUCAGGCAACUUGACAAUUUCUAUAAAUCCCAAUGUUACUUGUCAAGACCUUCUCAAUUAUGAAUUUGUUCAUCGGUUUUUGGAAUUAAUCCUAAAAAAACUCAAGUUGCUAAGAGGUGUCAUUUUUUAACGACGGUAGUUUUAAUGUUGCCUUUUGCUGAUGCAGCACGUCCUCAGGAUUAACUAGGCUGCUCUCUCAUAGUCAACCUACACCUGAGCCACCUCCCAAUCUUUGUAUCUGUCACUCAACAUUAAUUUGAGAACAUCCUGAAUAGCCAGGCUUGUCAACUAUUCAAGGGAAGCCAAGAAGCAAUACUUGCAUAAAAUAAAUAGACCUUUAUACCACUGGAGGUAAAAAAAAAAAACCCUUUCUUUGUAUUUUCACUGCAUUUUCAGAGGAAAGAGGUAAAGCCAUGAUUCUCCUGGGUAUUUAAUCAACAAACCUAUAUUUAAUUUGACCACUAAUAUGCAAGCUCCAGGGCCUCUAUCAUAUUUCUUAAUAGUAGCAUGAAGCUCAAUCACAUUAAUGGUCUCCACUGGAAACAGAGCGUACCAUUAGAGCAGGAGAAACUCCCUUUCCCAGAGCUGCUCUUUCACCUUAAAGAAAACAUUCUUCACAAGUGUCCAUGGUUUAGACAGUGUAGCAAGUGGUUUAAGUCAUCCUUACUUAUAGCUUCCUUACUUGCCAAAGUGAAGAUUAUAAUCUUGUUUAAUAAGCUUCCUAAAAAACUCCUUUUCGAGACAAGCAGACUUGGCAAGAAGUAUAAUACAAAAAAUAAUGGACUAGCCAGAAUAAAAAUUCCCAGCCUAAAUCACAGGCAGAGCUACUACCAUACCCAUUUUAUAAAACUUUCCAGCCCCUAUUUCAUGCUUAGAAGCUCAUGGCCUUCUAAAAUCUGAUGCUUUUAGUUCGGAAACCAGUUUCUUGAGUUCCAGCUCUUCUGUGCAGACAAUUCUCUGCAAACCGUUGUGAAGGCAACCCUCUUCGCUGAGGUUGCAGCAACAGCAGGUUCACUUGGCUCUCUCCAUUGGGUGGUGGCUUUGGCUUCUCAAAAAGAAGGUCAGAGAAAGGUUUCCAGAACACAAACUCUGUGGAAGCAUGGAUCACGAGACUCAAAUCAUUUCCUUUGCGAAGACUUCAGGAAUUCCCUCUUCAAAUCUUUUUUAGGACAAGACUGGGAGUGUGAACAUUUCUGUCAGCUUCAACUUCUUUCCCCCCCAGUACACAUUGUUAAGUUUUGCCAAACAUUUUUAAGUUCCAACAGACAUGUGCAGGAGAUGCAGGUUUGUUACAUAGGUAAACAUGUGCCAUGGUGGUUUGCCACAGCUAUCAAAUCAACUACGUUUUAAGCCCAGCAUGCAUUAGCUGUGUUUUCCAAUGCUCUCCCUCCCAUAACCACCCACCUCUAACAGACCCCAGUGUGUGUUGUUCCCUUUCCUGUUUGUUGGCCGCAUGUAUGACUUCUUUUAACAAGUAUCUGUUCAUCCUUUGCCCACUUUUUAAUGGGACUUUUUUUUUCUUGUUAAUAUGUUUAAGUUCCUUGUAGGCUCUGGAUAUGAGACCGCUGUCAGAUGGAUAGAUUGCAAAAAUGUUCUCCCAUUUUGUAAGUUGUCUGUUCACUGUGAUGAUAGUUACUUUCGCUGUUCAGAAGCCCUUUGACUACAUUCAAUUGUCAAUUUUUGUUUUUGUUGCAAUUGCUUUUCACUUUUUCAUCAUGAAAUCUUUGCCCAUGCCUGUGUUCUGAAUGGUACUGCCUAGAUUUUCUCCUAGGGUUUUUAUAGUUUUGGGUUUUACAUUAAAGUCUUUACUCCAUCUUGAGUUUAGUAUGGGCUGCAGUUGGCUGAAUCCUGGCAUAGAGGAUUGGUUUGCUUUAGUAGAAAAUGCUGAAUGGUUUUGCAGUGUGGCUGUUCAUUUAGUACUCUUAAGCAAUACUUUGUAAGAAUUCGAUAGAUGCUUCACAUUUUUGUCGACACUCAAAAGUAUUAAGUCUUUAGUUUUUCCAUUGUUGUAACUGUGUAGCAUGUCUCAUGGUAGGUUUACGUGUGAUCUCAGUAACGAUGCUGAACACUCAAAAUACAUGUAUUGGCCAUUUGUAUUUCCUGUCUUGUGAGGUGCUUGUUCAAGUCUCCAUGAUCCAUGCUUCCACAGACAUUUUUGACUGGUUUGUGUUCUUUCAUUUGUAGCUGGUGUUUUGGCUAUUAACCUGUAUUUAUCUACUACUGCUUAGCAAUAUUAUCACAAACUUAGGGGUACAAACAAACAUACAUUUAUUAUCUGACAGUUUCUGUGGGUCAAGAGUCUCAGCAUGGCUUAGCUGGGUCCUCUGCUUUAGGAUCUCUCACAAAGCUGCAAUAGAUAUGUUGGCCAGGGCUGGGGUCUCAUCUUUUGCUCAAAUGGGAAGGAUCUUCUUCCAAACUCACGUGGUGGCAGCGUUCAGUCCCUUGUGGUAUAUCCGCUUUCCAGUCUGCUGCUUGCUGCCUGUUGCCUAGAGGUUACCCUUAGUUUCUUGCCACGUGGGCUUUCCCAACAUGACUGCUUUUUUCAUCAAAGCCAACAAGGAAGAGUAUCUCCUCAUGAGAUGAAUACUACAGGCUUCUGAAACAGCAUCACAUACAUAAUCACAUACCUCCCACCACCGCUGCCAUAUCCUAUUGGUUAGAAUCAAGUCACACAGGUCCCAUGAAAAUUCAAGGGGAGAGGAUUACACAGGGUGUGAAUACCAGGGGUCAGGGAUCAUGGGGACUAUUCUAGAGAUGUCUUCUACAGAGUCCUCAUUAGAUAUGUCAUACAUAUCUUCUCCAGUCUGUAACUUGCCUUUUCCUUUCCUUUGAUAGAAAAAAAGUUUUGUUUAAAAUAAAAUCAAAUGUAUCCACUUCUUAAUUUUGUAGAUAGUGUUUUGUUGUUACUGUUUUGUAGAGUCAGGGUCUCAUUACAUUGCCUGAGCUGGUCUUGAAUUCCUCAUCUCAAGCAAUCCUCCUGCCUCAGCCUUUCAAAAUGUUGAGAUUGCAGGCGUGAGAUACCACACUGGCCCUAGACAGUGCCUUUUGAUUACCUGUUUAAUACUUCAUUGCUUACCUAAGAUAAUGAAGAUAUUCUAGUUUUCCUCUGGACUAGUGUUUCUCAACACUGGCAGUACUGACAUUUGGGGCUAGGUAAUUCUGGUUGUGUUAAUUCUUCUCCUGUGCAUUGCAGGGUGUUUAAUGGCAUCUCUGGCCCACCUACCAGAUGCCAGUAGCAGCUCUUUCCAGUUGUGGCAAUCAAAAACCUUGCCAAAUGUCUCCCAGGGCUAAAAGGCCCCAGUUGAAAAGUACUGUUCUAGAUGCUUCAUAGCUUAAUCUUUGAAUCUAAUGGCUGUAAUCUGAGUUAGUAUUGCUUCACAUUCUUCCAUGUGGAUUAAUUUCUCUACAUUCAUUUACAAUUUCUCUUAUUUCUCUACAUUUCCCUCAUGAAUUGCAUGUAUUGCUGUUGUCUUACAUCAAGUAAUCAUAUAUGUAUGGAUUCUGUUCAAUUUAUCUACCUUCAGUCCUCAUGCCAGUAAAACACGCCAGUAGUUUUUUGGUAGGUCUUGAAAUCCGUUAAUGUAAAUCUUUGAAUUUUGGUCAUCACAAUUGGCCUAUUUUAGGUCCUUUGCAUUUCCUUCUAUAUUUACAACCAACUUGUGAAUUUUUACACACAAAAAAGCCUGAGAUUUUUACUGAAACUAAAACUAUAGAUCAAUUUGAGGUAAUUGUAGUCAUAACAAUAUUGAAUAUUUCAGUACAUAACAUGAUAAAUCUUACUUAGUUCCUUUUAAUCUCUCUCAGUAUUUUCUGAUUUUCAGUGUUGAGGUCUUGCAACUAUUUCUAGAUAUUUGCUAAUGUUUCCCAGCUUUACUGAGGUAUACUUGACAUAUAAAAGUGUAUAUACUCAAUGUACAACAUGACUGUAUAUAUGUAUACAUUGUGGAAUAAUUGCCACAAUCAAGCCAAUUAACAUAUCCGUCCAUUCCCUCACAUUUUUUUUCCCUUUGGUGGUGGUGGUAACUUUUAAGAUCUACUUCCUUAGUAUUUCGUAUUUUUUAAACCAUUGCAAAUAACACCGUUUUCCUAAUUUUAUUUUCUAAUUGUUGGUUGUUAGUAUGUAGAAAUAAUUUUUUGUAUCAGUCUGUAUCUAGUGAUCUUACUAAAUUCAUGAUAAGAUACUUUGGAUCUGUUUGUAUGCAAUCAAGUCAUCUGUAAAUAACUUUUUACUUGUCUUUACUCUUUAUUAUCGUUUUCUUUGCCCUGACUGGGAUAUGCUAAACAACGGUGAAUAGAAGUAGUAAUGCUGAACAUCCUAGUCUUUCCUCCAAAUUUAGGGAGAGAAAUAAUUCAACAUGAAAGUACUAUUAUGAUAGGUUUUUUGUAGAUACUCUUUACUGUAUUGAGGAAUUUACCUAGUUUCUGAGAAGUACAUGGUUAGCUGAAUUCUGUCAAAUGCUUUGUUUUUCCUUUUUUGUGCAGCUACCAUAAUGGUCAUAUAAUUUUUCUCCUUUAUUCUAUUAAUGUGGUGAAUGACUUGAUUUUUGAAUGUUAUAGCAGUCUUGCAACCCUGAGAUAAACCCAAUUGGCCAUAAGUUUCUAUCCUUUUUAUGUAUCCUCUUUUUACAUACGGCUGAUCAUUUUGUUUAGAUCACUGUCUUUUACGAAAGGUGCUGGUCUGUGAUUUUCUUUUGUCAGGUUUUGGUGUCAGAGAAAUCUGGGUCUCAUAAAUUCAGUUGGUAAAUGUUUUCUUUUUCAUUAUGCUCUGGGAGUUUAUGUGACAUAAACACAGUAUUUCAUCUUUAGAUGACUGGAGAAAAUCACUGAUGAAACCAUCUGGGCCUAGAGUUUUCUUUGUAAGAAAGUGUUCAACUUUUAAUUACAUUAUAAAGUCUUUAUACCACAGAAAAAACAUUUCUGAUUAUGAAUGGAAGACAACAGAAACAUUCUAAAGAUGUCAACUAUAUUAAUUUUUGAGAAAAUAUACAUAACUAUAAUACACAGAGAUGUGGAAGCAUGAGAGGUUUUCAGUAAACCCAGAAAUACAGAAAGCACUGAUAUUUACAAACCCAUACAUAGCAUCAUUUGUAACUUAGCAUGCUAUUAGCGUUUUCUGCUCUCAAGCACUCUAUAAAGGUUAUUUUCAUGUCUGGAUUUCUGAUUUAGCUGAAAGAUGUAAAAAUUCUACAUAGACAACCUGCUUUGGCUAUAUCAUCAGGAAUGACUUAAAAGCAAAAAUGACAUUCCAGUUAUUCCACACACAAAUCCCUGAUGUUAACAUCCUUAGCCUAAAAAUAGCCAUUUGGAAGGAAAGCCCUACUUCAAAGCAAAGGGAAUGUAAAUAAGACAAUAACUGCUCCUGGAAAUGUCAGACUCAAAAUUGAGUUCUUCCGAUGGGAAUUGACUGUAAAAUAACAUCUCUGAUUUGUUAUAUAACAAAACAUAAUGGCUUCAUAAACUUUAUAUAAACAUACGGUCAACUUCUGAUAGUUUCCUCUUAAAAGGGUAGCUCUGAAGUAAUUAUUCUCUCUUGAAACUGUAUUUACCAAACUGCUUUUUUCUCUGAUUUCAUUCAUUCCUUUCCCCCAUUCGCCUCCCCAUUCCCAGUCUAGAUUAAUGAACACAAUAUUUGACAAAUCAGAAACUUUGUACACAAAGAUCUUUUAUUUGUGGUUAGACUUACACAGUUCCAACAAGUAAACAUAAUUAACAAAACACUUCAACGUACCAGAGGAGGUGCCCCGGUAUCAGUAGAAGGCACUGAUCAGACCACAGAAGAAAGCUUGACACGGAUCUUCAUAUGUGAAUGCCAGCUUCAAUCCUGUCAAAUGAACAUGCUGUUCUCUCAGUGGUAACAGUCAGUAGGCCAGAGCAGAAGAACUGGAGACUCUUAUCCACUGGUGUAGGCAGCCAGGCUCUCUUGAAGUAUUAUUAUAGAUGACAUGAAGGUGACUACCAUGGUAGCAAUGACAACAAUCUCGGUUACAAUGACAAAGCUUGAGGCCAUCAGUAGAAGCUUGAUGCGAUCUAGAAAUCCUGGUGGAGCCUCUCAUCAGCUGGUCAACCCUGAUAGAUCCCUUGGACGGGCCACAUAAUCCAUUUUCACAAAACUGAAUCCAGUGCAUUGUGUUAUCACUGCAACACACUAGAUCUGGUAGUUGCUAAUUUGGAAAAAUGGUAAGUACUAUUACAUCCUUUUAGAAAUGAGUCAAAUCUACGCUAUAAGAAAAACAUAUUAACACACAGGUACUUUGGGUGGUAUGGCUUUAAACUUUGUGCUUGGCUAUAAAAAGCAUUAUAAGCAAAGUUAACAAAUAACAGUUUUUAUUAAAAAGAAAAAAAAAGAAGUACUUUACUGUACCAAAAUUAGUUUAAGACAUAUUAAAUCAAAUUUUAUGCAAAUACCUUUACAAAAACGGAAUUGGAUAAUUAAACAGAGUGCUUUUUAUACAUUAAUACUGAAUAUGUUAAAUUACUAUAUAUUAAAGAUAUAAUUUGAAAACUAGAGCUGUUUCAAAAUACUGUGUUCAAAUGUCAUUUUUUGGAAACCCAGAGAAAUUGCCAGACACCAUGUUGUCCUUCCAUAAGGGGUUUCUCUUCUGAGUCAGGAGAGUCAUUAAGUAACAUUCAAAAAAAAAAAGAGUAAAACAUAAGGUCCAAAUUUAAUUCACUUCCUGAGACUCACA
Callithrix jacchus (white-tufted-ear marmoset) is the source of this 38212-nucleotide non-coding RNA. NCBI's taxonomy places the organism in Eukaryota, Metazoa, Chordata, Mammalia, Primates, Cebidae. The record is from RefSeq and is a predicted model, not a curated record.